This is a long non-coding RNA of Cyclopterus lumpus (lumpfish), 3508 nucleotides long. RefSeq lists it as uncharacterized. NCBI's taxonomy places the organism in Eukaryota, Metazoa, Chordata, Actinopteri, Perciformes, Cyclopteridae. The record is from RefSeq and is a predicted model, not a curated record. The transcript is spliced from 4 exons.
GACAUGUCGUCCCUCCCUGCCACUUUCUCCAAAUCUCUACUGAAGCAGAAGAACAGUGGGUGUCAAGGGAAACGCAACGAGUUGCGGACAGGAAGAGAAGCGGUCAACGACAAAACUGCUUGUUUGACGUUUCAUGAACGCCGGCUUCCCUCAGUCUGCAGAUACUAAACUUUGGUGUCUGUGUCGUGUUGUGUGCUUACAGGGGUGGUGAGGUGUGGACUCUGAGUCCGACAUAUCGGCACUAGAGGGUCACUUUGACGUUGUCAUGUGUGCAGACUGUUUGUUUCUCGACCAGUACAGAGCCAGCCUGGUUGAUGCUAUAAGGAGAUUACUGCGACCCAACGGCAUGGCGUUGGUGUUCGCUCCACUGCGAGGGGAAACUCUCAGACUGUUUUGUCAACUGGCCCAGCAGGCCGGACUCUGUGCCUCUCAACACCAGCAGUAUGAUGCUCAGGUCUGGGAUGUUCACUUAAAGAUGCUGACGGAGGGAAAAGACGCAUACGAUGAGAACAUCCACUACCCUCUCCUCAUCACCUUGACCAAAGGACCUCAACCUGUCAGCCACACUCUGUAAACACAAACAAGUGAGCCCUCCGCUCUCCACGCUACCACUCCACUCCACAUACCUUUGGCUAUUUGAGCUGGAAUGAUGCCACAGAGUCAUGUCACCAAAGUGAUCCAAGACAUUCAUUGAAAGAGCUGUUUACGGAUACAUUAGGGUUUCGUUGGUCCCAACAGAGAGAAAAACUAAUUGUGGUCACAUUUGAGGCUUUUCGUCAUAUAGAUGAAGUGACCACCGGGAGGAUUUAUUAGCACAUGAUGCAUGGCUUGGAAAAACUAUUUGAGCAUGCAUGUUUUUCAGUUUGAAGUGUCGAAGAAGAACACGCUCAUGUCCAAAGCAGUGGGCGAUACGUUGACCGUGGCUUAGGAGGAAGACAAAGGGGAGGCGGAUAUAUUACAUCCUAGUUUCAACCAUCCGCCAUAUGCCAAAUAACUACAGCCCGUCACUCGGCCAGUCAGCCCUUAAAUCAGUUUGCCUCAUCCCUGCAGUUAAUCAGCCAUCCAAGAAAGUACCAGUCUAAGAACCACAUUGCCAAACAGUCAUCUGGCUGGCCAGUCAAGUAGCCAGUCUAUUGAAUUACCUAUUAUGGUAAUUAAUUAGCCAGUAAUUCAGUCAUUAUUCCAGCCAACAAGCCAGUCCGUUGUGUAGCCGGUUACAUGAACAUUUCCUCCGUCAGUCCUGCUGUAAGUGUCAGAUUGCCCUCUUUAACCUGUCAGCAUUAACCUAUGCUACUGUGUUUCAUGCCCCAGCAUGGAGGCCAGCUCUAAUUCAUUAACCAUCACAGACUGUGGAGCAGCUCACAGUGUCCUUUAAUUCUCUUUGUUCCCUUCUUCCCCCGCUUUAAUUUCUUCUAAUACAACUCGUUCAUCCCAGUCAGAGGUCAGUAUUAACUUCUUUUGUGAAUUUCUUACAAUAGUACAUUAACAUAUUAAGGCACGUCAAGACGAAGGAGCAGUUGUUGCUGCCCUGGAGCUACAGUUAGCGUAGCACGCAGCAACAUCGCAGCGGAUAAAGGUAGUCCACACUAUAUCCCAUUGUAAAUUAACUUUACACAGCUCUGUUGGUAGUUUGAAUUGGACGCGGCAAUUCCACCAACAUCAACUCAAACUCCUGCUCCUCAAACAAUCAGAUCCUAUGGCAGCUGCUAUACGCUCUUAAUCUGAACCCACCUUCAGGAAGUGUGUGUCUGAACAGAGAAUAUCAUGAGAGUAUCAUGACUCCUACUACUCACAUUGUAAUGACUACUGACCCCGAUACUGGUGGCAACAGAUUAAAAGAUGCAUGAUAUGCUGUACACAGCAGGAUUUUCUUUGCAUCUUUUUUUUCUGUUCUUCUUGUUUUGUGUACAGAGAUAUUAAUGGUCUCUUACCCAUAAUGUCCUCUUGGUGCAGACAAUCUGCUGCCAGUCUAGCUGGUGUGCCAAUGUCCACUGGCUCUGUGAGCACAUUCUCAAGUUUCCAUGCUUCACGGGUCUAUGAAGGGCUACAUUCACAUUUGAAUGUAUGCAAAGCCUAUAUUAUUAUGUAACGGUGCGUCCAUUUGUUAUUGAUUCAUUCUUUAAGUAUAUAAAGCAAAACUGUUUGUUUAUGUCACUUCUCUAAGUCUUUGAAGCAGGAGAAGAAAACUUGUUUUUUCUUUCUCCUAAUAUGCACUGUUGAAAAGGUACAGAUACAAACAUGGCACCGUAACUAAAACCCAACAUCUUUUCAUAAAAGAGCUGCUGAAACAUCUGGAAACAACAUUUGAAAACAUACUGCUUGAACAGUCAUACAACACAUCCAGUGGACAUGUUUAGAAUAGGAUUUCAUAUUGAUAGACUAUGUGCAUUCAUAGUUGAAAGUUUGCACAUGCUGCUCAUAACCUCAAGAGCAAAGACUUUUACACAUUUCAGACCAAUUGCUUCUCCAUUUCCCGUUUGCAUUUUUUUCUAUCGGCACAAUAAAUCGUUCUACUCAGGUCUUUUUCCAUGCAUUCAGCUGUUUCUUGUGGUAUUAAAGAAACGCCAAGUGUCAGUGGGCCACUGGAGCCCAACGUUGUACCUAUCACUAGUAAAGUGUUUCCAUAUUUCACUGUGAUCCAUUGUUUUAUACAGCAGCCAAGAAGCUAUGCAGUAUCUCCCUGUGGCUGUUUGCAUCCCUCUUGUUGGGAAAAUAAUCCACCUACACAAAUGAGAGGUAUUCCCUGUGUGUAACUGCUCAGAAAAGUAAAUUAAGCCAGUUUUAUCAGUGGUCUCAAUGCUUUGAGGACUUAAAUUGCAUUGCAAAAACGUCCCCGUUGCAGAAGUGUUGUUUAAUUACAUUUGUUAUCUGUAAUGCAGUUUGCUGUAUACCUUUGAUAUCUGUGGGCUAACACAUAAAUACCAUCCCGACUGAAUGUGUACAGUGACCUCAUCGCUGUCUAGUGCGACGUCACCACCGCUAUGAGCGAUGCCAUUCUGCAUCCCCGCGGCAUUGAGCGCCACUGUUAUCUGGGCUGCUGCUCCUUGCAACAUCACUGCCUCUAUUUGUGGCAACAACAAAAAAAAAAAGCUUCACCUGGUGGACCGAGGAUCUGCUGUGAUGUCACGUUUUUUUUUUUUUAUUAGACAGUGACGCCGUCACUUGUAGUCUUGCUAUUAGUGCUGUGUGUGCUAGGACUCUUCUCACUGUGACUUCAGACAACAGACAGUCAAGGAACCACUGAGGGUCAGCGUUAUUCAGAGAAGGUCAUGUGCUGCUGCUGAGAACGACCCUGGGCAAACGCCACGCAGGAAUGCUCUAAUACAACUGUAUCGUGGGAUGUCUCAGCGAAGCUAUUGUUUGGAUUAUCAAACGGAAUUCUUUGAAUUGUUGGUCACUUGCAGGCCAUGUACACACUAAUCCUGAUCAAUUUAAAGUUAGAUCUACUUGGAUCCUUCUAUCCACACCGAUUCUUUUUUUUCGGCCAGCAAAAACAGAAUAUAUAUAU